This 468-nucleotide ribosomal RNA is filed under the name uncultured bacterium. RNAcentral describes it as "partial 16S ribosomal RNA". It matches the Rfam family "Bacterial small subunit ribosomal RNA", at positions 28 to 507 of the family's 1533-position model. The record is from RNAcentral.
GACGAACGCUGGCGGCGUGCUUAACACAUGCAAGUCGAACGGAAAGGCCCUGCUUUUGUGGGGUGCUCGAGUGGCGAACGGGUGAGUAACACGUGAGUAACCUGCCCUUGACUUUGGGAUAACUUCAGGAAACUGGGGCUAAUACCGGAUAGGAGCUCCUGCUGCAUGGUGGGGGUUGGAAAGUUUCGGCGGUUGGGGAUGGACUCGCGGCUUAUCAGCUUGUUGGUGGGGUGGUGGCUUACCAAGGCUUUGACGGGUAGCCGGCCUGAGAGGGUGACCGGCCACAUUGGGACUGAGAUACGGCCCAGACUCCUACGGGAGGCAGCAGUGGGGAAUAUUGCACAAUGGGCGGAAGCCUGAUGCAGCAACGCCGCGUGCGGGAUGACGGCCUUCGGGUUGUAAACCGCUUUCGCCUGUGGCGAAGCGUGAGUGACGGUAAUGGGUAAAGAAGCACCGGCUAACUACGUG